GAUGAAGAAUGUAGCGAAAUGCGAUAAGUAGUGUGAAUUGCAGAAUUCAGUGAAUCAUCGAAUCUUUGAACGCACAUUGCGCCCCAUGGUAUUCCGUGGGGCAUGCCUGUUCGAGCGUCAUUUACCCCCUCAAGCUCCGCUUGGUGUUGGGCGUCUGUCCCGCUUCGCGCGCGGACUCGCCCCAAAGGUAUUGGCAGCGGUCGUGCCAGCUUCUCGCGCAGCACAUUGCGCUUCUCGAGGCACCGGUGGGCCCGCGUCCAUCAAGCUCACCCCCCCAGUUUGACCUCGGAUCAGGUAGGGAUACCCGCUGAACUUAAGCAUAUCAAUAAGCGGAGGA
RNAcentral lists this unclassified non-coding RNA (337 nucleotides) under soil metagenome. RNAcentral's name for it is "partial contains 5.8S ribosomal RNA, internal transcribed spacer 2, and large subunit ribosomal RNA". The stretch from base 1 to 120 matches the Rfam family "5.8S ribosomal RNA", at positions 35 to 154 of the family's 154-position model. The record is from RNAcentral.